UCUUUAGGUGCACUCAGGUGACUUCAUCUAGUUCCAUUGCUCUGAAUGCAUUUUAGAUGCUGGUGGCCCCCCGGCUUGAUACCCAGCCCGUCCUUCUCCCCUGAGCCGCAGGCUCCCUGAGGGCACAGACACCAGUUACCUGUGUGUCCUCAGCAGCUAGCCCGUGUCUGGUUCAGAGAACCACGUUUAGGGGCUGGAACACAGAGGCUCAUUAGCUGAAUGCGCAGAAGGAGUGCAUUCAAAUCAGAUGUUCAGAAGGAGGUGGGCAGGAGGCAGGCG
Molecule: long non-coding RNA, 279 nt
Organism: Hippopotamus amphibius kiboko
Lineage: Eukaryota; Metazoa; Chordata; Mammalia; Artiodactyla; Hippopotamidae
Exons: 3
Source: RefSeq, a predicted model, not a curated record